CCGUGGGUGCGAGCGGCUGCGGUCGACAGAGCACGGGCGGUGGCGGGCAGUGCGUGGCCGCUGCAGGCAAGCGCUGUUUUCUUUGCAGCCGCCAGCCGUACGCAAUCGUACGGCGCCCUUCAUCCUCGCGCUGGUCGUCGUCGUCUCCUUUUUCAUCCUCGUCCGGAGGCAGUCGCCCACCGCGGCAGUGGGAACUGUGCGUUGACGACGGUGCCUGCAACCGCCAACAGCAUCAGGAGUUGGUUGUUGGAGAGACGGUUUCGGAGCCUGCAGUGGAUGACGGUGAGGUGCUGCUGGUGGAGCCGGGUCUCCGGGAGAUGUUCCGGAUCGCGCCCUCCACUCCCGAGUACGCCGCCAUCGUGGAGCAGCUCCCGCAGGUGGGUGGGUGAGUGGGUGGGUGAGUUGGUCGGUGAGUGGGUGGGUGAGUGGGUGGGUGGGUGAGUGGGUGAGCCGCGGGGCAUGGGCCUGUAAUCGGCAUGGCUGUGUCUUGAUAGGGGCCGGUCGAUACUUUGCUGGCGGGUCUCCCUCGCUGUCUCGCCCGCUGUAGUCUCUAGUUGGCUACACAUGCCCUCGAGCCGCCCCCACGAAACAAAAAAUAUUGAGGGGCUGCUGCUGCUGCUAAUGUUGUUGCAACCCGGCAAAGCAGCCUGUUACGGGUGUAUGGUCAUGUCCCUUCCUACCUACCUAUCUACCUAGCUAGCUAGCUAUCAACGGAUUGUUUCGGUCUGGGGACCUUACUCGCUUGUAAGCUCUGUUUCGUCGGUACGUACAUAUGUACACAUGCAAUACAACAUGUAACUAUUUCGAACAGGCUUGGGCGGCUGGCCCUGGGGGCCCCCCAGGGCUUGUUUGGGCCCGUAACACCUUCGGAGAGUAGCGCAGCUCAAGGUGUAACACAUACAUACAUACAUGCAUACAUACAUCUGAUCAGGCCCCCUUACCUCUGUUAUUU
This 952-nucleotide long non-coding RNA is filed under the name Volvox carteri. RNAcentral's name for it is "long non-coding RNA (VCAR_LNC002805)". Lineage: Eukaryota; Viridiplantae; Chlorophyta; Chlorophyceae; Chlamydomonadales; Volvocaceae. The record is from RNAcentral.